RNAcentral lists this ribosomal RNA (468 nucleotides) under uncultured bacterium. Its description in RNAcentral is "partial 16S ribosomal RNA". It matches the Rfam family "Bacterial small subunit ribosomal RNA", at positions 28 to 507 of the family's 1533-position model. The record is from RNAcentral.
GACGAACGCUGGCGGCGUGCUUAACACAUGCAAGUCGAACGGAAAGGCCCUGCUUUUGUGGGGUGCUCGAGUGGCGAACGGGUGAGUAACACGUGAGUAACCUGCCCUUGACUUUGGGAUAACUUCAGGAAACUGGGGCUAAUACCGGCUAGGAGCUCCUGCUGCAUGGUGGGGGUUGGAAAGUUUCGGCGGUUGGGGAUGGACUCGCGGCUUAUCAGCUUGUUGGUGGGGUAGUGGCUUACCAAGGCUUUGACGGGUAGCCUGCCUGAGAGGGUGACCGGACACAUUGGGACUGAGAUACGGCCCAGACUACUACGGGAGGCAGCAGUGGGGAAUAUUGCACAAUGGGCGGAAGCCUGAUGUAGCAACGCCGCGUGCGGGAUGACGGCCUUCGGGUUGUAAACCGCUUUCGCCUGUGACGAAGCGUGAGUGACGGUAAUGGGUAAAGAAGCACCGGCUAACUACGUG